This 891-nucleotide ribosomal RNA is filed under the name Lactiplantibacillus plantarum. RNAcentral describes it as "bacterial SSU rRNA". It matches the Rfam family "Bacterial small subunit ribosomal RNA", at positions 64 to 941 of the family's 1533-position model. The record is from RNAcentral. Lineage: Bacteria; Bacillati; Bacillota; Bacilli; Lactobacillales; Lactobacillaceae.
GUGCUUGCAUCAUGAUUUACAUUUGAGUGAGUGGCGAACUGGUGAGUAACACGUGGGAAACCUGCCCAGAAGCGGGGGAUAACACCUGGAAACAGAUGCUAAUACCGCAUAACAACUUGGACCGCAUGGUCCGAGUUUGAAAGAUGGCUUCGGCUAUCACUUUUGGAUGGUCCCGCGGCGUAUUAGCUAGAUGGUGAGGUAACGGCUCACCAUGGCAAUGAUACGUAGCCGACCUGAGAGGGUAAUCGGCCACAUUGGGACUGAGACACGGCCCAAACUCCUACGGGAGGCAGCAGUAGGGAAUCUUCCACAAUGGACGAAAGUCUGAUGGAGCAACGCCGCGUGAGUGAAGAAGGGUUUCGGCUCGUAAAACUCUGUUGUUAAAGAAGAACAUAUCUGAGAGUAACUGUUCAGGUAUUGACGGUAUUUAACCAGAAAGCCACGGCUAACUACGUGCCAGCAGCCGCGGUAAUACGUAGGUGGCAAGCGUUGUCCGGAUUUAUUGGGCGUAAAGCGAGCGCAGGCGGUUUUUUAAGUCUGAUGUGAAAGCCUUCGGCUCAACCGAAGAAGUGCAUCGGAAACUGGGAAACUUGAGUGCAGAAGAGGACAGUGGAACUCCAUGUGUAGCGGUGAAAUGCGUAGAUAUAUGGAAGAACACCAGUGGCGAAGGCGGCUGUCUGGUCUGUAACUGACGCUGAGGCUCGAAAGUAUGGGUAGCAAACAGGAUUAGAUACCCUGGUAGUCCAUACCGUAAACGAUGAAUGCUAAGUGUUGGAGGGUUUCCGCCCUUCAGUGCUGCAGCUAACGCAUUAAGCAUUCCGCCUGGGGAGUACGGCCGCAAGGCUGAAACUCAAAGGAAUUGACGGGGGCCCGCACAAGCGGUGGAGCAUG